Molecule: ribosomal RNA, 924 nt
Filed under: uncultured archaeon
Lineage: Archaea
Description: bacterial SSU rRNA
Rfam family: Archaeal small subunit ribosomal RNA
Source: RNAcentral
UUCCGGUUGAUCCUGCCGGAGGUCACUGCUAUUGGGGUUCGGCUAAGCCAUGCGAGCGGAGGGCGCGGUCGAGAGAUCGUGGCCCCGCACACGGCUCAGUAACACGUAGUCAACCUACCCUUGGGACGGGGACAACCUCGGGAAACUGAGGCUAAUUCCCGAUAGGCGAGGGACGCUGGGAUGCCUCCUCGCCCAAAGCUCCGGCGCCCGAGGAUGGGACUGCGGCCUAUCAGGCUGUUGGUGGUGUGACGGACCACCAAACCUACGACGGGUACGGGCGAUGGGAGUCGGAGCCCGGAGAUGGGGACUGAGACAAGGCCCCAGGCCCUACGGGGCGCAGCAGGCGCGAAAACUCCGCAAUGCGCGCAAGCGUGACGGGGGGAUCCCAAGUGCCGUUGGUCUUUUGAUCGACGGCUUUUCGGAAGUCCAAGAAGCUUCCGGAAUAAGGGCUGGGUAAGACUGGUGCCAGCCGCCGCGGUAACACCAGCAGCCCAAGUGGUGACCACGAUUAUUGGGCCUAAAGCGCUCGUAGCCGGGUCAGCAAGUCCCUUGUGAAAUCGGGCCGCCUAACGGUUCGGCGUGCAAGGGGUACUGUUGGUCUUGAGGCCGGGAGAGGUCGGAGGUACUCCUGGGGUAGCGGUGAAAUGCUCUAAUCCUGGGGGGACCACCAGUGGCGAAGGCGUCCGACCAGAACGGACCUGACGGUGAGGGGCGAAGGCUAGGGGAGCGAACGGGAUUAGAUACCCCGGUAGUCCUAGCUGUAAAGCAUGCGGGCCAGGUGUCUAGUGCUCCUCGAGGGCACUAGGUGCCGGAGGGAAGCCGUUUAGCCCGCCGCCUGAGAAGUACGGUCGCAAGGCUGAACUUAAAGAUAUUGGCGGGGGAGCACCACAAGGGGUGGGACCUGCGGUUCAUUGGAUUCAACGC